CCCACACUGCCCACAUUGCCUUGUCACAGGGGCCCAAGUUUAUCCCUGAAUAAACCAGGAAUCAAAUCCACUUAAGGUGCCUGAGGUCUGCCAUAGCUAGGUGUCAGCAACUGAACAGACCUGGGACAGAUCUCCAGAGUUACGAGGCUGAGACGCCGACUCCACCUGUGGUCAGCCCCACCAGCUUCAAGUAUGGACCGUACACUGCAGGAGCCAAUCAAAUGGAACAGCUGGAUGUGUUAAGCCCAGGGACUCUGAAGAUCCAAGGAGCAUCUAGUGGUUCUGUGCCAGGGAUAGGAACCAGGACACUUACCUGCCUCUACUUCCUGUGGCCUUAAAACCCACAUUUCUCAAGGCAGAACUGGCCUGGCCUACUUGGAGGGGGCAGGGUUUGCUCCAGUAUCUCUGAAAUCAUCUGAGGGGAUCCCUCCAUUUCUUCCAAAAGCAGAUUACAGGAAGGUCUCCCUCUCCCCACCCGUCUCUCCAGGGUGAGCUGGGGUCAGAUGCACAUGGAGGACCUCCCAGCCCAGCCCUCUGCAGACCCUGCCUUUGCCCAUCCCUUCCUGCCCCUGCGGGUGCCCAGCCCCUGCUGCUGCCCACAGUGGUUUGGGAGGCUUCCUGGGGAAGGAUUUGAGGCAGAGGAGGAGGGGGACUUCAGGACGGUAAGCAGCAAAGGCCAAGAAUACUGACCUGUCACAUAGUGAGUGCCUGCUACAAAGAGGUUUUUGUGGAUUUCCAUUUGUACAUUUCAC
Molecule: long non-coding RNA, 752 nt
Filed under: Heterocephalus glaber (naked mole-rat)
Lineage: Eukaryota; Metazoa; Chordata; Mammalia; Rodentia; Bathyergidae
Description: lncRNA (ENSHGLG00000032146.1)
Source: RNAcentral